This is a long non-coding RNA of Nematolebias whitei (Rio pearlfish), 292 nucleotides long. RefSeq lists it as uncharacterized. The transcript is spliced from 2 exons. NCBI's taxonomy places the organism in Eukaryota, Metazoa, Chordata, Actinopteri, Cyprinodontiformes, Rivulidae. The record is from RefSeq and is a predicted model, not a curated record.
GAUGAUCCCGCCACCUCCACCCUUGAGUCCUGACAUGGUGGACGACGAAGCCUUGGGUAGUGUGCUCAUAUCCUGGUACAUGAGUGGAUAUCACACAGGAUACUACCUGGGAUUAAAACAAGGUCGCAAAGAAGCUGGCAAGUGGACGAAAAUGCACCACAAAUGAAUGGAAGUCAUUAGUUACUUUGGGUCUCACAUGGACCAAGAGCCAUCAAGUUAAUUUGUAUGUAUGUCCUUUCAAUAAAAGUUUUGUAUUCUUUGUACAUAGAAUAAUUAAAGGCUGUCCAGACAA